Molecule: ribosomal RNA, 391 nt
Filed under: uncultured bacterium
Lineage: Bacteria
Description: bacterial SSU rRNA
Rfam family: Bacterial small subunit ribosomal RNA
Source: RNAcentral
GACGAACGCUGGCGGCGUGCUUAACACAUGCAAGUCGAGCGGUAAGGCCCUUUCGGGGGUACACGAGCGGCGAACGGGUGAGUAACAGGUGGGUGACCUGCCCUCAGCUCUGGGAUAAGCCUGGGAAACUGGGUCUAAUACCGGAUAUGACUCCAUGACGCAUGUUGUGGGGUGGAAAGCCUUGUGCGGCUGAGGAUGGGCCCGCGGCCUAUCAGCUUGUUGGUGGGGUGANGGCCUACCAAGGCGACGACGGGUAGCCGGCCUGAGAGGGCGACCGGCCACACUGGGACUGAGACACGGCCCAGACUCCUACGGGAGGCAGCAGUGGGGAAUCUUGCGCAAUGGGCGAAAGCCUGACGCAGCGACGCCGCGUGAGGGAUGACGGCCUGGU